RNAcentral lists this ribosomal RNA (510 nucleotides) under uncultured bacterium. RNAcentral describes it as "bacterial SSU rRNA". It matches the Rfam family "Bacterial small subunit ribosomal RNA", at positions 73 to 562 of the family's 1533-position model. The record is from RNAcentral.
CCGGAGCUUGCUCCACCGGAAAAAGAGGAGUGGCGAACGGGUGAGUAACACGUGGGUAACCUGCCCAUCAGAAGGGGAUAACACUUGGAAACAGGUGCUAAUACCGUAUAACAAUCAAAACCGCAUGGUUUUGAUUUGAAAGGCGCUUUCGGGUGUCGCUGAUGGAUGGACCCGCGGUGCAUUAGCUAGUUGGUGAGGUAACGGCUCACCAAGGCCACGAUGCAUAGCCGACCUGAGAGGGUGAUCGGCCACAUUGGGACUGAGACACGGCCCAAACUCCUACGGGAGGCAGCAGUAGGGAAUCUUCGGCAAUGGACGAAAGUCUGACCGAGCAACGCCGCGUGAGUGAAGAAGGUUUUCGGAUCGUAAAACUCUGUUGUUAGAGAAGAACAAGGAUGAGAGUAACUGUUCAUCCCUUGACGGUAUCUAACCAGAAAGCCACGGCUAACUACGUGCCAGCAGCCGCGGUAAUACGUAGGUGGCAAGCGUUGUCCGGAUUUAUUGGGCGUA